CAUUACAUUCAUGGUACGAAAUCUAUUAGAAAUACCGUCGUUUUUAAUAGUAAAAUAAAAUAAUUAUUGCAUCUGCUUAGAUCGUACACGUCUUGUAUAAUAUGAUCUCAGAAUAAGAUAUAUAUAUAUUAGUCCGUGGUAGUGGGGAAGAACUACAGCGCGUCGCCCAAGGCCCGCGCCCCGCCGGCCACCGGUCGCUUUUGUUGUUAUUGUUUAUUUUAAUUAAUAUCUCAACAACCAUGUUGUUCGCACCUUGCACAACGGACGACUGCUUCCGGCUUGGCGGCUUCGCGAAUCCGCGAUUCCGCACUCGCAGAUAACGUGCACUUCGAUUUCACUAGUAAAUAUCAUAUUAUUAUUUAAUUUACGAACUCAUUGAAUUCAGUCGCAUUAUUGUUCGUUGUACACUCGUGUUUCGACGUCGACUUUAAUACGAAUCUUGAGAUUUUAAGGACGGAAAAGUAGUGGAUCGCAGACCGAAAAAAAGAAAAAUUAAACCUCGUGAUAAGAUUGAUGGACCUCUUGAUGGAUUCUUUUAGUGAAAGUUCAUCCAAAAUUGAUGUCCAUAUGCAAGAUCAUUAUAGUGAAUAUAUUAAUACUGAAUCAGAUUCUGGAUUUUUGAAUUGUCUUUUCGUACAUGAAAGAACCAUAGCGAAUACUUAAGUGGGACUUUGUAAAAUACAAUGCAAUCUGACUGUUGUCUAGUAUAUAAAAGGCGCUCCGAGGAAUCACUAUAUUUAUAGUGAAUCAGAUUCUGGAGAUUCAAAUUUCACUGUUGCUGAGUAGCAUGCUCAUGUUAGCAUGGUAUUUAGUAUGCAAAUGAAUUAGAGAAAUUGAAGAAGAAGAAGAGGAACAAUUAAUUGCCGUUGUCAGAAUGUCUGAAACAUAUUCUUUGAUUCCUAGAAUUCAUAAUCGACGUUUUUGUGUUUCCUGAAAACAACACAUUUUAUCACAAAGGAGGUUUGUUCCCAUUACCAACGAUUGAUUACAUUGUAUUGUCUUUUCAAGCUUGAAAGAACAGUGCAAGCAAUCAGUGCCAUAAAUUUUCAAACAGUCAAUGUUAUAACCGUGUAAAUUAUCAGUAUUUUUACUGCGUUACUGAUUGUAAAUUACCUUUAAAUAUGUAUAUUACACACAACUGUUAAAUUACCACAAUACACAAUUAUGAUGUACAUUUAUUCAAUAAGUAUUUGAUAUUAUAUUAUUACAUAUUAAAUAUUAA
Long non-coding RNA from Metopolophium dirhodum (rose-grain aphid), 1222 nucleotides. RefSeq lists it as uncharacterized. The transcript has 3 exons. NCBI's taxonomy places the organism in Eukaryota, Metazoa, Arthropoda, Insecta, Hemiptera, Aphididae. The record is from RefSeq and is a predicted model, not a curated record.